GACGAACGCUGGCGGCGUGCUUAAUACAUGCAAGUCGAAGGGGCUUACCAUCUUCGGAUGGUGAGUCACUGGCGCACGGGUGAGUAACACGUAAGUGAUCUGCCCUUGGGUCUGGCAUAACUCCGGGAAACCGGAGCUAAUUCCAGAUGACAUCUCACGAUCAAAGCCUUCGGGUGCCCAGGGAUGAGCUUGCGUCUGAUUAGCUAGUUGGCGGGGUAACGGCCCACCAAGGCAACGAUCAGUAGCCGGUCUGAGAGGAUGAUCGGCCACAUUGGGACUGAGACACGGCCCAGACUCCUACGGGAGGCAGCAGUAAGGAAUAUUGCGCAAUGGACGAAGGUCUGACGCAGCAACGCCGCGUGCAGGAUGAA
RNAcentral lists this ribosomal RNA (371 nucleotides) under uncultured bacterium. Its description in RNAcentral is "bacterial SSU rRNA". It matches the Rfam family "Bacterial small subunit ribosomal RNA", at positions 28 to 412 of the family's 1533-position model. The record is from RNAcentral.